AAUGCUCAAACUAAAAACUUUGGGGAUUACAAAGAUCAGAAAUACUGAAACUGUUAUCAAAUAUUUUUAUCUAAAAAAAUUGUAUUAGUGUAUGCUUGUAGUACACAUUGAUCUUUUUCCUCAUGGUGAGUUACUGCAGGGAAUGAUAAAUGCAGAAUUUGGGACAGGGUUAUCUCUCGGCAAGGCAGACAGAGGAGACAGAAGACAAGUAGAAUAGAAUGCAAAAGCAGUGCCUGAAUGCUCUAAUGCCAGGGUCCUGGGUUCCAUCCUUACCACCACCUGGACAGAAAGAUUACACAAGAUUUGACCGACUGGCCCCACGUGAAGGAAUAUAGCUCAAGGAAUUAAUUGAAUAAGUGUUUAUGGAAGCAAAGGA
Molecule: long non-coding RNA, 376 nt
Organism: Fukomys damarensis (Damara mole-rat)
Lineage: Eukaryota; Metazoa; Chordata; Mammalia; Rodentia; Bathyergidae
Exons: 3
Source: RefSeq, a predicted model, not a curated record